CCUACGGGAGGCAGCAGUGGGGGAUAUUGCACAAUGGGGGGAACCCUGAUGCAGCGACGCCGCGUGGGUGAAGAAGCGCCUCGGCGCGUAAAGCCCUGUCAGCAGGGAGGAAAAUGACGGUACCUGAAGAAGAAGCCCCGGCUAACUACGUGCCAGCAGCCGCGGUAAUACGUAGGGGGCAAGCGUUAUCCGGAUUUACGGGGUGUAAAGGGGGCGCAGACGGCGAUGCAAGCCAGGAGUGAAAGCCCGGGGCCCAACCCCGGGACUGCUCUUGGAACUGCGUGGCUGGAGGGCAGGAGGGGGAGGCGGAAUUCCUGGUGUAGCGGUGAAAUGCGUAGAUAUCAGGAGGAACACCGGUGGCGAAGGCGACCUGCUGGACUGCAACUGACGUUGAGGCCCGAAAGCGUGGGGAGCAAACAGGAUUAGAUACCCUUGUAGUC
RNAcentral lists this ribosomal RNA (440 nucleotides) under uncultured bacterium. RNAcentral describes it as "partial 16S ribosomal RNA". It matches the Rfam family "Bacterial small subunit ribosomal RNA", at positions 338 to 795 of the family's 1533-position model. The record is from RNAcentral.